GCAAGGGGGUAGAUGACACCCUUGUGUGUUCUAGGUCCUUUGAGAUAGAUUAUCUCACUGAAGGCUCAGCAACUCCGCGGUGUUCCCAGAGGUGAGGAAACACACUGAGAGACAGAACACGACUUGGCCAGGGCCACCCUGUGGGGCACGCUGGCACCUGCACAGCCCAGCUUCACCUGGUUCCAGCCCUGCCCGCGCUCUGCUCCCCACUUCCCGUAACUCUGGGCUGGCGUCAGCAGGCAGGCCUGCCAGGAGGCUGGAGCUGCCAACGACCUAUUUUUCUAGGCAAGAAGAGCCAUUUGGAGUUAGAGGUCUCAGCUGUGAAGCCAGAACAAUAAAAAUAAAAACAGCGCGGACUCCUGGGCAGCCUGGACCAGGGAACCAACUGCCCCAAGAGUUGCUGCUCACCAGGCUGGAAGGUCCCAGGUGAUACUGACGCUACUGAUUCAGGGAUCACACUUUGAGAACUGCUGAAUAGACUGCCAUUCAAGCCAAGCCAAUCCUCUUGGCUCUACCUUCAAAAUAAACCCAGAAUCCAACCACACCUUCCCACCUGCAUCACACUCCGGUCCCAGUACCUUCAUUUCUCACCUGGAUUAGUGCGGUCACUUCCUCACUGGCUCCGUACUUCCUGGACUCCCCACCUUGUUGCUUCUUCAAUAAAAGCCUCCCAAUGGC
RNAcentral lists this non-coding RNA (678 nucleotides) under Pan troglodytes (chimpanzee). Lineage: Eukaryota; Metazoa; Chordata; Mammalia; Primates; Hominidae. The record is from RNAcentral.